AUGGAGAAGCUCUCAUCGGCAGCGACUUUCGUGGAGGGCGGUGUGUACGCCUGCGACCACACCUGCAGCAUCUGCCUCAAGGCCUUCUGCGACAGUGACUCCUCCACAGUUACAGGCUGCAAGCAUGAUUUGCAUCUCCAGUGCAUCCUUGAGUGGUGCCAGAGAAGCUCCCAGUGUCCCAUGUGUUGGCAGGCAAUCAACACGAAGGGCCCUAUGAGUGCUUUGGAGAAGAUGGACAUGAGGCCCCAACCUACACUGGCAUAG
This 264-nucleotide ribosomal RNA is filed under the name Triticum aestivum (bread wheat). Its description in RNAcentral is "partial small subunit ribosomal RNA". The record is from RNAcentral. Lineage: Eukaryota; Viridiplantae; Streptophyta; Magnoliopsida; Poales; Poaceae.